Macaca mulatta (Rhesus monkey) is the source of this 1900-nucleotide RNA transcript. It is a transcript of the gene named sirtuin 7, with no coding region annotated. The record is from RefSeq and is marked provisional. NCBI's taxonomy places the organism in Eukaryota, Metazoa, Chordata, Mammalia, Primates, Cercopithecidae.
CUGGCAGGUGCUUCUUUGGGGCGACGCGGCGGGCGGAGCCGGAAGAGGUGGGUGGGGGCGGGACCCGUCUUGCGCAUGCGCCCUGAGCGCGGCCUGCCGUGUGAGGCGGAAGCGGAAGAGCGGGUCUCCAGGGGAGCGAUGGCAGCCGGGGGUCUGAGCCGCUCGGAACGCAAAGCUGCGGAGCGGGUCCGAAGGUUGCGGGAGGAGCAGCAGAGGGAGCGCCUCCGCCAGGUGUCGCGCAUCCUGAGAAAGGCGGCGGCGGAGCGCAGCGCCGAGGAGGGCCGGCUGCUGGCCGAGAGCGCGGACCUGGUAACGGAGCUGCAGGGCCGGAGCCGGCGGCGCGAGGGCCUGAAGCGGCGGCAGGAGGAGGUGUGCGACGACCCGGAGGAGCUGCGAGGGAAGGUCCGGGAGCUGGCCAGCGCCGUCCGGAACGCCAAAUACUUGGUCGUCUACACAGGCGCGGGAAUCAGCACGGCAGCAUCUAUCCCAGACUACAGGGGCCCUAAUGGAGUGUGGACACUGCUUCAGAAAGGGAGAAGCGUGAGUGCCGCUGACCUGAGUGAGGCCGAGCCAACCCUCACCCACAUGAGCAUCACCCGUUUGCAUGAGCAGAAGCUGGUGCAGCAUGUGGUGUCUCAGAACUGUGACGGGCUCCACCUGAGAAGUGGGCUGCCACGCACGGCCAUCUCAGAGCUCCACGGGAACAUGUACAUUGAAGUCUGCACCUCCUGCAUUCCCAACAGGGAGUACGUGCGAGUGUUCGAUGUGACGGAACGCACCGCCCUCCACAGACACCAGACAGGCCGGACCUGCCACAAGUGUGGGACCCAGCUCCGGGACACCAUUGUGCACUUUGGAGAGAGGGGGACGUUGGGGCAGCCUCUGAACUGGGAAGCAGCGACUGAGGCUGCCAGCAGAGCAGACACCAUCCUGUGUCUAGGGUCCAGCCUGAAGGUUCUAAAGAAGUACCCACGCCUCUGGUGCAUGACCAAGCCCCCUAGCCGGCGGCCGAAACUCUACAUUGUGAACUUGCAGUGGACCCCAAAGGAUGACUGGGCUGCCCUGAAGCUACACGGGAAGUGUGAUGAUGUCAUGCGGCUCCUCAUGGCCGAGCUGGGCUUGGAGAUCCCCGCCUAUAGCAGGGUCUUAUAGGGGAAAUCAAUAACUUCUUUUAAUCAAAGGGUUCAAGAAAUUAAGGAUCCCUUCACCUUCUGGGCCUGGCACUUCUUGUGGCAGGAUCCCAUUUUCUCACUGGCGACUCCCCUGCGUGCUGGCGAAGAAGGCAGCCACAGUCGGAAGUCGCUGUGCAGAAGCAGAGAGGAAGCCCCGCCUGGGGACCGGGGUGCACCGCUUAGCUCGGCCCCCAUCCUAGGGGGCUGGUUUGGCAGGGGCUGCACAAAACGCACAAAAAAGAAGAAAGUGACGUAACCUGGCGCUCGAUGAAGAACAGUUGGCACUUUGCAGAUGGCCAGUGUCACGGUGAAGGCUGGCUUGUCCCCACGGGUCUAGUGAGAACUCUUUGGGGAUGACGUUUUCACCGUGACAUUUUUAGCCAUUUGUCCUUGUGGAAGCCCCUUGCACUGCUGCGGUUGUCCCCUGAUACGACUUGGCCAUGGAGGACACCUGCCCAUCCGGCCUCUAUGUCAAGGGGUGGCAGCCGCACCUUUCUGUGAGAACGGAACUCGGGUUAUUUCAGCCCCGGCCGGCAGAGUGGAAGCGCCCAGCGGCCUUUCCUCACUCGCCAGGCCAGUCUCAGGGCCUCACCCUAUUUCUACUACUUAACGAAAAAGUGUGAAAACUUUAUAGAACCCUCUCUGUACUGGACGUGCGGCAGAGGGGUGGCUCCGAGCCUCGGCUCUAUGCAGACCUUUUUAUUUCUAUUAAACGUUUCUGCACUGGU